UACGUAGGCAGCAAGCGUUGUUCGGAAUUACUGGGCGUAAAGAGUGUGUAGGCGGUUUUCUAAGUUUGGUGUGAAAUCUCCCGGCUUAACUGGGAGGGUGCGCCGAAAACUGGAAGGCUUGAGUGCCGGAGAGGAUAGCGGAAUUCCCGGUGUAGCGGUGAAAUGCGUAGAUAUCAGGAGGAACACCGGUGGCGAAGGCGGGUCUCUGGGCCGAUACUGACGCUGGAGGAGCGAAAGCGUGGGGAGCAAACAGG
Molecule: ribosomal RNA, 254 nt
Filed under: uncultured bacterium
Lineage: Bacteria
Description: partial 16S ribosomal RNA
Rfam family: Bacterial small subunit ribosomal RNA
Source: RNAcentral